GAGGAGGAGUUUUCAGGACCUCCAGUGAAUGUGAUAGUAGAGCUGCUUCUAGCGUUAUCGUUCUGUAUGUGGGCUGCUUUAACUGCAGCGGGAAAGUUCCUUUCCGUACAUCAUCAUUCUGAAGAGAAUAGGAUAGUUUCUUUACCGGCCAAUAUGGACUUCUUGAUCUUCAACCAUCGUGGUAAAGUAUUUUCUCCAGGAACGGACAUGAGACUGAAACAUUGAAGUCUUCUCAAUGAUAGGAUCAUCUUUUGGAGUGCUAUUUAAGACAAGCAAUCAUCUCUCUGUCAAAUUUGAGCUUGGAAAGAGCAAAAAUUGGAGGAUUUGGCAACUCAGUGGUGCUAAUUCCUAGUAUCUUAAGACAACACUUAAUUUUGUACCGUGUAUCUUAUAUUUUUUCAUAAUUUCCAUCAGUUGGUCUUGUAAUGUGAAGAUUUAGGAAUGCUAUCACAUGUUUUGUGAUAAUCACAAUGGGAUUUUAAUGUGGAUCUAGGCCUGCACACCGAAUCUGCUUUAAGCCUGAAAGAUAAACUUUGAAACAAGGUAAAUGGUGAAACUACAAACUAGGAGCUGCGUUAUACGGAAGAUGCAAUCCUACCAUCUCCAAGUUGUGAC
This 615-nucleotide unclassified non-coding RNA is filed under the name Hevea brasiliensis (rubber tree). The record is from RNAcentral. Lineage: Eukaryota; Viridiplantae; Streptophyta; Magnoliopsida; Malpighiales; Euphorbiaceae.